UACGUAGGGUGCAAGCGUUAAUCGGAAUUACUGGGCGUAAAGCGUGCGCAGGCGGUUGUGCAAGGCCGAUGUGAAAUCCCCGGGCUUAACCUGGGAACUGCGUUUGAAACUACAAGGCUAGAGUGUGGCAGAGGGGGGUGGAAUUCCACGUGUAGCAGUGAAAUGCGUAGAGAUGUGGAGGAACACCGAUGGCGAAGGCAGCCCCCUGGGUUAACACUGACGCUCAGGCACGAAAGCGUGGGGAGCAAACAGG
Molecule: ribosomal RNA, 253 nt
Filed under: uncultured bacterium
Lineage: Bacteria
Description: partial 16S ribosomal RNA
Rfam family: Bacterial small subunit ribosomal RNA
Source: RNAcentral